GACGACCGCUGGCGGCGUGCUUAUCACAUGCAAGUCGAACGGAAAGGCCCUGCUUUUGUGGGCUGCUCGUGUGGCGAACGGGUGAGUAACACGUGAGUAACCUGCCCUUGACUUUGGGAUAAACUCCGGGAAAUGGGGCUAAUAACCGAUAAGUGUAUCUGCUGCAUGGUGUCGGUUGGAAAGUUUCGGCGGGUGGGGAUGGACUCGCGGCUUAUCACCUCGUUGGUGAGGUAGUGGCUUACCAAGGUUCUGACGGGUAGCCGGCUAGGGAGGGUGACCGGCCACAAUGGGACUGAGAUACGGCCCAGACUCCUACGGGAGGCAGCAGUGGGGAAUAUUGCACAAUGGGCGGAAGCCUGAUGCAGCAACGCCGCGUGCGGGAUGACGGCCUUCGGGUUGUAAACCGCUUUCGCCUGUGACGAAGCGUGAGUGACGGUAAUUGGUAAAAAAGCACCGGCUAACUACGUG
RNAcentral lists this ribosomal RNA (468 nucleotides) under uncultured bacterium. RNAcentral describes it as "partial 16S ribosomal RNA". It matches the Rfam family "Bacterial small subunit ribosomal RNA", at positions 28 to 507 of the family's 1533-position model. The record is from RNAcentral.